RNAcentral lists this ribosomal RNA (509 nucleotides) under uncultured bacterium. Its description in RNAcentral is "bacterial SSU rRNA". It matches the Rfam family "Bacterial small subunit ribosomal RNA", at positions 29 to 526 of the family's 1533-position model. The record is from RNAcentral.
AUAAACGCUGGCGGCAUGCCUAAUACAUGCAAGUCGAACGGAAAGAGGUACUCGUACUUCUUUCAGUGGCGAACGGGUGAGUAACACGUAGGGAACCUGCCCGGUGCCGGGGGAUACGCUUUGGAAACGAAGUCUAAAACCCCAUAACAACGAAGAAGGCAUCUUCUUUGUUUGAAAAGGACAACUGUCCUGGCGCCGGAUGGACCUGCGGUGCAUUAGUUAGUUGGUGAGGCAAAGGCUCACCAAGACGAUGAUGCAUAGCCGGCCUGAGAGGGCGGACGGCCACACUGGGACUGAGACACGGCCCAGACUCCUGCGGGAGGCAGCAGUAGGGAAUUUUCGUCAAUGGGCGCAAGCCUGAACGAGCAAUGCCGCGUGAGUGAAGAAGCUCUUCGGAGUGUAAAGCUCUGUUGUGAAGGAAAAAGGCAGGGAAGAGUGGAAAGCUACCCUGUUGAUGGUACUUCACCAGAAAGUCACGGCUAACUACGUGCCAGCCGCCGCGGUAAAAC